GUUCGAUCAUGGCUCAGAUUGAACGCUGGCGGGAUGCUUUACAUGCAAGUCGAACGGCGGCACGGACUUCGGUCUGGUGGCGAGUGGCGAACGGGUGAGUAAUGUAUCGGAACGUGCUAGUAGCGGGGGAUAACUACGCAGAAAGCGUAGCUAAUACCGCAUACGCCCUUCGGGGGAAAGCGGGGGGACCUUCGGGCCUCGCACUAUUAGAGCGGCCGAUAUCCAGUUAGCUAGUUGGUGGGGUAACGGCUCACCAAGGCGACGAUCCGUAGUAGCUGGUUUGAGAGGACGACCAGCCACACUGGGACUGAGACACGGCCCAGACUCCUGCAGGAGGCAGCGAUUAGAAAUUUGGACAAUGGGAAACCUGAUCCAGCCAUCCCGCGUGUGCGAUGAAGGCCUUCCGGGUUGUAAAGCACUUUUGGCAGGAAAGAAACGGCACGGGAUAAUACCCCGUGCAACUGACGUACCUGCAGAAUGGCACCGGCUAACUACGUGCCAGCAGCCGCGGUAGCCGUAGGUGCAAGCGUUAAAUCGGAAUUACUGGGCGUAAAGCGUGCGCAGGCGGUUCGGAAAAGAAGAUGUGAAAUCCCAGAGCAACUUUGGAACUGCAUUUUUAACUACCGAGCUAGAGUGUGUCAGAGGGAGGUGGAAUUCCGCGUGUAGCAGUGAAAUGCGUAGAUGUCUACGAGGAGGAACACCGAUGGCGAAGGCAGCCUCCUGGGAUAACACUGACGCUCAUGCGACGUGGGGAGCAAACGGGAUUGGGCUCACCUGGUAGUCCACGCCCUAAACGAUGUCAACUAGCUGUUGGGGCCUUCGGGCCUUGGUAGCGCAACUAACUGGCGGUGAAGUUGACCGCCUGGGGAGUACGGUCGCAAGAUUAAAACUCAAAGGAAUUGACGGGGACCCGCACAAGCGGUGGAUGAUGUGGAUUAAUUCGAUGCAACGCGAAAACCUUACCUUUGACAUGUCUGGAAUCCCGAAGAGAUUUGGGGAGUGCUCGCAAGAGAACGGAACACAGGUGCUGCAUGGCUGUCGUCAGCUCGUGUCGUGAGAUGUUGGGUUAAGUCCCGCAACGAGCGCAACCCUUGUCAUUGAUUAUACGAAAGAGCACUCAGCAGAACUACCGCCGGUGACAAACCGAGGAGGAAGGUGGGGACGUCAAGUCCUCAUGGCCCGCACCCCUUGGGUAGGGCUUCACACGUCAUACAAUGGUCGGGACAGAGGGUCGCCAACCCGCGAGGGGGAGCCAAUCAGAAACCCGAUCGUAGUCCGGAUCGCAGUCUGCAACUCGACUGCGUGAAGUCGGAAUCGCUAGUAUCGGAUCAGCGCCAUCAUGUCGCGUCGUUCCCGGUCUUGUACACCGCCCGUCACACCAUGGGAGUGGGGUUUACCGGAAGUAGUUAGCCUAACCGUAAGGAGGGCGAUUACGGUAGGAUUCAUGACUGGGGUGAAGUCGUAACAAGGUAG
This 1473-nucleotide ribosomal RNA is filed under the name uncultured Bordetella sp. Its description in RNAcentral is "partial 16S-23S ribosomal RNA intergenic spacer". It matches the Rfam family "Bacterial small subunit ribosomal RNA". The record is from RNAcentral. Lineage: Bacteria; Pseudomonadati; Pseudomonadota; Betaproteobacteria; Burkholderiales; Alcaligenaceae.